UACGUAGGGGGCAAGCGUUGUCCGGAAUUAUUGGGCGUAAAGAGCUCGUAGGCGGUGUGUCGCGUCGGCCGUGAAAACCUGCAGCUUAACUGUGGGCGUGCGGUCGAUACGGGCAUCACUGGAGUUCGGCAGGGGAGACUGGAAUUCCUGGUGUAGCGGUGAAAUGCGCAGAUAUCAGGAGGAACACCGGUGGCGAAGGCGGGUCUCUGGGCAACAACUGACGCUGAGGAGCGAAAGCGUGGGGAGCGAACAGG
RNAcentral lists this ribosomal RNA (254 nucleotides) under uncultured bacterium. Its description in RNAcentral is "partial 16S ribosomal RNA". It matches the Rfam family "Bacterial small subunit ribosomal RNA", at positions 524 to 776 of the family's 1533-position model. The record is from RNAcentral.